UCCGUAGGUGAACCUGCGGAAGGAUCAUUAACGAAUCAAACAA
Molecule: ribosomal RNA, 43 nt
Filed under: Schizophyllum commune
Lineage: Eukaryota; Fungi; Basidiomycota; Agaricomycetes; Agaricales; Schizophyllaceae
Description: partial 18S ribosomal RNA
Source: RNAcentral